RNAcentral lists this long non-coding RNA (833 nucleotides) under Bos indicus x Bos taurus (hybrid cattle). RNAcentral describes it as "lncRNA (ENSBIXG00005027242.1)". The record is from RNAcentral. Lineage: Eukaryota; Metazoa; Chordata; Mammalia; Artiodactyla; Bovidae.
CAGUUCCUAGAAAUCUGUAUAACACUUUUUUUAUGAAAUAAAUACUUUCUAUGUAAUACUUUUUUAGGUGUGCCAGAAGGUUGAGGCCUCUGGGUUUGAAUUCACCAACUUGUAUUGUCAGUCUCCUUCCCACCGCAGCUAUCUGUAAGAGAGCAUGCUGCUUGGUUGCUGGUAAAACAGGAAAUGGGGUAAGUAAUUUACAUAGGGAAUUUUACUACCAUUUAAAUUUAAGCUACUUGAUUCUUAAAGUACUUUUACUAUUACUCUUUUUUUAAGAGUGAGUUCACUAGCUACUAGAGAAAUUGGCACAAAGAAAAAUUUUUAUUUUAUAUAUUUAGGUAUUAACCUUGUUUAACUGGUUUAUUGCACAGCAUAUUAGUAGUCUCAUUUUUUUGGUAGAUUUAUCAUGAACAUAAAUGUAUAUUUUAUAAUCAUUAGCAUUUAUAUAAUGUAGUUUGGCAGCUAAUGUUAAAGGAAACAUUUUAUGCUGGUCUUAGAAGCAAAAUUAUAAACCUAAUUAUGCUGUAAAAGAUACAUAGUAAAGUUCUAGUUAAGGCAGAACAACAGUAAGUUUAUACAUAGAUAAGACACAGAAAACAUAGGUUCACAGUCCUUUAUCUGAAAACCUUGGUGGCAAAUGUGUCUUGGAAUUUAGAAUUUUUUAGACUUUGGCAAUUUAAUACAGCAUAAAUACCAUAUAUGAUAUACCUCUCUCCUCUGGGGUAGUACUGUAUUAUCAAGCAUUAAUAUUUCUGCAGUGAAGCAUACCAAUAUUCACACCAAUUUGAUCAAAGCCUUACAUGUUCAAGUCAGAGUUUGGUUGCCAACUGAGA